Molecule: long non-coding RNA, 1582 nt
Organism: Penaeus indicus
Lineage: Eukaryota; Metazoa; Arthropoda; Malacostraca; Decapoda; Penaeidae
Exons: 2
Source: RefSeq, a predicted model, not a curated record
UUGAAAGUGUAAAAGCAUUUUAAUCAAUUGGGAAAAACCAGGAACCUUUAGUCUUGAGUGUCUCUUGAAGGAAUAUGUGGGGUCGUGUUUACCGUACUGUUUAUGCCAGGAAGAAUUUCCAAUAUUUUUUCUUGAAUAUUUAUUUUAGAUUUGGAUUUUGAUUCUCUUCAGUUCUUAACCUUUGAUAUUUUGUCUUAACAAUAAUACAAUCAACUGCCUUUCAACAAAGAGAAAGAUGAUAUGAAAACUGUCAUUGUAGAGUAACCUUAUAGGAUAAUAGAGAUGGCAGUUUAUCUCAUACGAGAAAAUAGAAGUGAACUUUAUAUUAAAGCUCAUUUAGAAAAGCAUGAAAUAAAUGGUUAGGCAUAUUUAACCUAAGACGACUACAGUGAAAUAGUAUUGAUUAUAAUAUUAUUAACAAUGUAGAACACAAGAUGAUAGAUAAUGAAAUCAGCUCCUUUUAUUUCUUGGCCGAAAAAAUACAGUAAUUCAUAUUUUUUUUGAAAGAGUAAAUUAACAUCAAGUCCCUUGGGUGGGGUAGUAAUGACCCAAGAAUAAUGACAAAAAUCUCUCAUUGGGGGUUACAGGCAGGAGGUGAAGAUGGUGUAUGGGCCGUACUACAAUAAAUCUUACAGGUUUUCGCAGAACCAGCAGAACUAACUCUCGGCUUUAGGGUUUCGGUGAAGGACCGAUUGAGCUAGUUUCCGGAGCAGUAAUGGUGAAUAGGUGACAGUCUGCGUGACAUUAUUAUUAUUAUUUUUUUUUUUAAUUAAUUAUUAUUAUUAUUAUUAUUGUCAUCAAUAAUAAAGUUUCCUCGCCAUUCCAACUUUGCUGAUGACGUUGACUGUCUCCCUUGCCGUGCUUUGUAUUUAUGGCAGUGCAGACAUUUUCCUGUGCAAAAGUGAUAGUUAUUCUUAGAAAAGACUGCAGCAAGAAGAUGCAAGAAAAUGGGAGAAGAAAAAAAAGGAAAGUGAAGACAGGGAGCGAGGAUGAAAGAAGAAAGAAAGAAAGAAAAAAAAAAGUGAGAUGGAAGAUAGUGUUAAUUAUACAAACUUUGAUUGGAAUGACUCGAGUGUUUAUUUUGAUGAGGGAAAUCAUCAAGUACCAGUACUGUUAUUUUUUGUGAUGGAGAGAGAGAGAGAAGAUUUAAGUGUUUGUAUCUUAUUUCUUUUUUCUUUUUUCUUUUUUCUUUCAUUCUUUCUUUCUCUCUCCUCUUCUAUGAUAUUUCAAAUAGAUGUAAGCGUGUUUUCCCGGAUACGCUUGGACUCUUGUUUCCUCUCCAGGCGAGUGAUUGCCAGGAAUGGGACGACUAAAAGUGUGUGUGAAUGAACAAGCAAAAAAGUUCACAAGUUCAUGUUCUUUGUUUGUAUUUUAUUUUAUUUUUAUUUGAUUUUCUCUUCUGCCUUUCGAGGAGAAUGGGAAAACCUUCUCCAAGGAAGGUGCGUCAUUCCAUAUAUUUUUUUUUUUUCUUCCCAGUGUUUCUUCAUAUCGUGUGUUAUCACUACUGCUUGUUAAGUCAGUAAUUGUGUGAUUUAUUGUUGUGAGGUGAGGAGGAAAUGGUGAAUAAAAUCAUGUCAUGUUA